This 1721-nucleotide long non-coding RNA is filed under the name Marmota monax (woodchuck). The record is from RNAcentral. Lineage: Eukaryota; Metazoa; Chordata; Mammalia; Rodentia; Sciuridae.
UACACCAUUAUAUUGUGUGCUUGUACAGGUAUGUAACAAUGAAUCCCACUGUUGUGUAUGAUUAUAAUUCACAAAUUAAGGGGGUGAAGAAAACUUUACAAGUGCAAUUGAAGAUCUCUGUGUAUCUGCUCCCCAAAGAUAACUGCUUCCUGACCUCACACAGGUAAUUACUAUUUUGAAAUUGUUAAGUAUUAUUCCAAUGCAUUUGUAGGCAUGUUUAUGAUACAUUUCUAAAAUCUACAUGAAUGGUCCAAAAUGCAUGAAUCUUUAUUCCUAUCUCAUAAAUAUCAUCUUGACAUUUUGUGUAUGUUUAAGUAGGUAAAAUAAGUAUGUUUAACUAAGCUGAUGUGUGUGUUACAGUUGAAAAGAACAUGUAACUGCAUGGGGGGAAUCCUGGCCCAAGUAUUCAUUCUUUGAGCAGAUAAGUACUGACGCUGACUGCCUGUCAGAAGGCCCGGACUAGACACCCAAUGGCAAAGAGGUCCGCGUUCCAGGAUCUGCUUGCAGGUGCUACUGCAGCCACACCAACCUUGACCCAUCGACCUCCAGUCCCUCCAGUUCUCUCUCCACUGUCCUCCCAGCCAGGCCCUGCCUCGGUGCGUUCUAGGAAGGAGGCCUGGGUGCAGGGUCCACGUGUGUGAGGUCCAGCGAGCUCCACCUUGCAGUCUCUGCUCCUCCCAUCCUUGACUCCUGCAGCUUUCAAGUCCCCGGGCCCCACAGCUGUGUGACCUCCAUAUAAUCCACAUCUCCACAGUGCAGCCCUCGCAGGGCAGCAGCAUAGACGGGCCUGUGGGCCAUUGGAACCUGCCAGAGCCGGGCAUCGUGCAUGGGGAAUACAACGCUGGUGCUUCCACUUUGAGUUUGUCCUAGUAGCAGACCAGCUCCUGCUGCACACCCUCAGGGGCCUGCGAACUUCAACCGCUUCCAAGUCCCAUGCACAGCCCUUGUGCAUGCCUGGCCUGCGGCCUCCCGCUUCCUCCACAGCACCCUAAUGUAUUUCUCUCUAGUUAAUGUUCAGUGAGCAUUCUCAUUCAAUUGCAUACCAUUACAUUUUUUAUCCACUUUCUGGAGGACAGUUGUUUCUGACCUGUGCAAUGACAGAAAUGUUGCUGUGAAAACAUUAGUUCUACUCUGCUGGCACCUGAUCUCAGACUUCCCCAGGCCACAGAACAGUGAGAAAAACAUGUCUGUGGUUUAAGUGACCCAACCUAUGAUACUUUUGUUAUAACAGUCCAGACUAAGAUAUCAGGCGAAGAUAAUACAUAUAUCUUUCCAAGAACUUAAAAUAUUUCACAGAGGGGUUGAGGCUGUAGCUCAAUGGUGAAGUACUUGUCUUGCAUGCGUGAGGCACUGGGUUCAAUCCUCAGCACUACAUAAAAAUAAAUAAAGAUACUGUGUGUUCAUUUACAACUAAAUAAAUAUUUUUAAAAAUAUAUAUUUCAGGGGACUUUUAGUUGUAGUUUCAGGUGUGCUGAAAUUAUUAGCACAAAUCUCAUUGAAGUUAGUUAUAAUGCCCCAUGAACCAUCCUAAGGAGGAAUGCAAAGUAGUAUUUGAAAAGCAUACUUGUUCUUGAGAUAUGGAAACAUUAGUGCAUGCUUUUUCUAAUGAAAGAGCUUCUCAGAGAAUUUUUGAAAGCUUGUUGAAUGCUUUUUCCUAUUUAAUUAAAAAUAAAGUUUUAUCUGAAAUGGAAAAAAAAAAAACACUAGUUUUGGUCUGCAAA